AACUGUUUCAAAAGUACCCUCUGAAACUUAAUUUUUGUUCUUGAAAAUUGAUCUGUGUUGCAUAUUUACAUAGGGAUAAAUAAAGAUUUAAGGGCAAAUAUACAAAAGGUUAUCUUCUGAAAAUACAGAAAGUCUUUAGAAGGAAAUAUCUUCUUUGUGUGACUGUAAUGGAAAGAAACCAGUAUGCUUCUGAAUAUCCCAUUAGAUAUUUAUUAGAUUACAUUAGAUAUGUAUUCCCAGACUUCUAAACAUUUUUUAAGGCUUUUUUUUUUUUUCAUUAGAACUAUAUUUGAGAGAUGGAACACACACCUUUUGCAUCUAGCUUUCAUAGAUACGCUACCGAGCUCCGUUAUGUACUAGAAGAAGGGAAGACUGGAAGUGUUAAGAUACUUAAGGUGCAGAUGCCAGAAACAGUAAAGUGCCAUUGCCCUUCUGUUUUUACAUUCAGAGAAUCCAGAAUUGAUAGGAAAUCAUGUGUUCCAGAAUUGUAGCUCCUGGUGCUAAGUGGUAAUGCAGAAGGUGGGCUUCCUGCAGUAUUUGUGUGUGCUCUGGCCUCAGUGCUGCUGCUGCUGCUCCUUACUUGAACAGGCAGGUGGGACUCUUCAAAGGACUUUUUCUGGGAGGAAGACACAUAGAUCAUCCUCCAUCUCAUAUCUGGAUUGCAGAGAUUCUGUUACAUAUUCGUAUUUUUUUUUUAAAGUUCAGUGAACUUAUUCACUCUCUAUUAUUAAAAUAAAAUGUGGAAAUAAGAGAUCUAAAUACUAGUGAUCUGCUUUUCCUAAUCUGGGAUGUGUGCCUGGACAUAAAAGCACUCAUUUCCUUUGAUGAGUGAACACACCAGCUCCUUACAGUGUAGGACGCAGCCAAGGAAGGUACCUGUUGGGUAGUUCUGUGCUGCCUUUGGUAUUAAUGUUAUGCUUCAAAAACUAACAGAACAUUUAGUUGAUAUACUGUAUAUCUCUAUUAUGUAUAAUAUCUCCUCAUAAAUAUGCAUGCAUAACAAAACUGUGGCAAUUUGAGGAAUUUAUGUAGAACUUAUGAAUUCUCUUUGAUAUCAUGGGUUCUCCAGAUAUCUCUGUUUCAACCUGCACACUCUGUACUGAAAAGAGAACAGUUUUUUUUCCCAAGCUUUUUGGUGUAUUGAAUUUUCAAAGGGCCAACCAUGGAACAUCAUGAAAUGCUGACAACCUGAAGUCAAAUGGAUGAUUCUCAGACAAAAAGAGUUAGCAAUUGCUCAGAAUGAUUUAUUUGCCAAAGUGGAUUAGUCACUAAAAUGUGGACCACAUCCUGAGGAAACCUGGUGAUGCUCACAGAGAAAGAAAAGUUCAAAAAGGAGGAAGGUAGCCUAAUGGCCACUCUGAAAUGAGACAGAAAUGAGAAGAAAAAGUGUGUUGUAGAAAUGUAAGAAGUGUUUUUCUGCUGUCACAAGCAGCCAGAGGCAAUUGAGUGGAUAGAAUUUGUGGAAACACAAGGCUAGAUGUACAUGUACUUUUGACUAAUUUGGGUGAGUUAUAUAAUGGAGUUGGGAUAGCUUUGGGUAGAUACAGGGAGGAGGAGAAGAGAGCUAUAGUUACAGCCUUAGUUUGAAACUUUCAGACUUUUGCUUCACUUUGCAGUCUCGGAGUACAAUUCUGGACCUGCUUAUAUCAAAACAAUUUUAAGGUGAAGUGGUUUUUUGAUCUUUAAGCCCACUAACCUUUACUUUAAAAUCUGCUAAACUGGGGAUAUAGAUAUUCAAAUAUGGGUCCUAAUGAAUAGAUAGAGUAAGGCACAUUUCAAAACAAUGCUAAAUGCCUCUUUUUAUUGUAAAAAUGUGUCUUAAAUCAUGCCUAGAGAUUUCUGAAAUUGAACAAUAUAAAAACGAUGAAUAAUGACUAGUACUAAGAAUAUGCUGAGAUUUAAACACUGGGUUUCUAAAUGCACAAAGGAAGA
Phasianus colchicus (ring-necked pheasant) is the source of this 1932-nucleotide long non-coding RNA. RefSeq lists it as uncharacterized. NCBI's taxonomy places the organism in Eukaryota, Metazoa, Chordata, Aves, Galliformes, Phasianidae. The record is from RefSeq and is a predicted model, not a curated record.